Molecule: long non-coding RNA, 226 nt
Filed under: Amborella trichopoda
Lineage: Eukaryota; Viridiplantae; Streptophyta; Magnoliopsida; Amborellales; Amborellaceae
Description: long non-coding RNA (ATRI_LNC005378)
Source: RNAcentral
GAAGGGGCUGCAUUACACAUUAAAAAUUGGCUUGUGGAAGGCUGCCCUUCCACUUUUUGGCUUCUUCUGGGGUCAAAAGAUCCCCCUUCAUGCCUUGAGGGACAACAUCAAAACCACGGUCAUCUUUUGGGCUAAGAACCAUAGCCGUUUCAAACACCUCUUAGCCUUGGAUUUCCACCUCAAUUGGCAGGCCUUACUCUCUCUUAGACCAAACCGUUUCCCUCGA